Molecule: ribosomal RNA, 393 nt
Filed under: uncultured bacterium
Lineage: Bacteria
Description: bacterial SSU rRNA
Rfam family: Bacterial small subunit ribosomal RNA
Source: RNAcentral
AUUGAACGCUGGCGGCAUGCCUUACACAUGCAAGUCGAACGGCAGCGGACCUUCGGGUGCCGGCGAGUGGCGAACGGGUGAGUAAUAUAUCGGAACGUACCUUUCAGUGGGGGAUAACGUAGCGAAAGUUACGCUAAUACCGCAUAUUCUGUGAGCAGGAAAGCAGGGGAUCGCAAGACCUUGCGCUGAUUGAGCGGCCGAUAUCAGAUUAGCUAGUUGUGGUAAGGGCCUACCAAGGCGACGAUCCGUAGCGGGUCUGAGAGGAUGAUCCGCCACACUGGGACUGAGACACGGCCCAGACUCCUACGGGAGGCAGCAGUGGGGAAUUUUGGACAAUGGGCGGAAGCCUGAUCCAGCCAUGCCGCGUGAGUGAAGAAGGCCUCGGUUGUAAGA